RNAcentral lists this ribosomal RNA (465 nucleotides) under uncultured bacterium. Its description in RNAcentral is "partial 16S ribosomal RNA". It matches the Rfam family "Bacterial small subunit ribosomal RNA", at positions 28 to 507 of the family's 1533-position model. The record is from RNAcentral.
GACGAACGCUGGCGGCGUGCUUAACACAUGCAAGUCGAACGGAAAGGCCCUGCUUGCAGGGUACUCGAGUGGCGAACGGGUGAGUAACACGUGGGUGAUCUGCCCUGCACUUGGGGUAAAGUCUGGGAAACUGGGCUUAAUACCGGUAAGGCGCGAGUUUGAGUGUGAUGGUUGGAAAGAUUUUUCGGUGUCGGAUGAGCUCGCGGCCUAUCAGCUUGUUGGUGGGGUAAUGGCCUACCAAGGCGGCGACGGGUAGCUGGCCUGAGAGGGUGGACGGCCACACUGGGACCGAGGUACGGCCCAGACUGCGAAGGGAGGCAGCAGGGGGGAAUAUUGCACCAUGGGCGCAGGGCGGAUGCAGCGGGGCCGCGGAGGGGAUGACGGCCUUCGGGUUGUAAACUCCUUUCGAUAGGGACGAAGCUUUUUGUGACGGUACCUAGAGAAGAAGCACCGGCUAACUACGUG